GAAGAAGAAGAAGAGGAAGUGAAAUUCGUUACGGUUGAAAGAAAAUGGAAGAAUGAGGAAUCAGAAAUUUUGGGGAAGAGAUUCGAGAAGAGAGAGGAAGAAGAGCCAAAGCUUCUGCAGAAAAAUUCGCCCCUGAAAUUCACUGUUAAUCUUGCAUAUAUACUUUGAAGGUUGAGUUUAGGUGAGUUUAUGAUUCUGCGUUUUGGACUUUUUUGGAGUUGUUUGGUUUGAUUCGCGUUUUACAGCAGCUAGCUUGUGUUGUAGCUUUCGUGUACACUAUUUACGCCGUUUCUCCAAUUCCAAUUGCCGUUUUCACUUGGCUUAUGCUGCUGCAAGUUCUGCGUUUCACUUCGUUGCCCUUGCGUUUUGUUGCUUUUGCUGCACGUUUAGCUUAUUGUGUAUUUUCGUUUAUGCAGGCUUUUGGAUUUCCGUAGUUUUCGUUUUGAUUUCGCACGUGUGUGCGUUAUGCUGCAGUUGCCACGUUUCAGCUUCAUGGCUUAAUUCAUGCAUUGUGUUUCACUCUUGGCUUGUGCGGUUUGGUAUCCAACCUGCAUUUGGCUUCGUUGCAUUUGGUUUUGCAUUGCAGUAGCAGCAUUUUCUGCGGGUUUACGUUUGUCUUUGGCUUAUUUGCAGCGGCUUGGCUUGUGUUCAUUGCGUUUGGAUGUUGCAUCAGCUUUUAUGUUAUUUGGCUUUGCAGCUUGCGAUGCCUUGCCGCUUAUGCUUAUCAAGCUGCGUUUGGAAGCAUGGUUUGGUGCAGUUCGCGUUUUCUCUUUUUUGGGAUAGUGCACGUAUGUUUGGUAGCUGCAGCAACUUGUUUGUAUUGUUGGCUCUUGGCGUUGUAGCAGUUUUUAUUUUGGCGCAACUUUGCCCCUCUUUCACUUUCCACUUGCCUCUUAUUACUUUGUGUUAUUUGGGAUAUGUACUAAAAAUGAAUAAUAGAAUUGGCUAAUGGGUAAUUAGGGUUAACAAUGGUUUAAUGGGUAUGAUACAUUGGAUAUGGAAAUUGUAUAAGUAAGAUUAAAUGGAUGUGGUUUUUUUUGGAUA
Molecule: long non-coding RNA, 1044 nt
Organism: Lathyrus oleraceus (garden pea)
Lineage: Eukaryota; Viridiplantae; Streptophyta; Magnoliopsida; Fabales; Fabaceae
Exons: 2
Source: RefSeq, a predicted model, not a curated record